This 1535-nucleotide ribosomal RNA is filed under the name human gut metagenome. RNAcentral describes it as "bacterial LSU rRNA". It matches the Rfam family "Bacterial large subunit ribosomal RNA", at positions 855 to 2388 of the family's 2925-position model. The record is from RNAcentral.
CUCCCCGAAAACUAUUGAGGUAGUGCCUCGUGUAUGGCUCCAGGGGGUAGAGCACUGUUAUGGCUAGGGGGACAUGGCGUCUUACCAAACCAUGGCAAACUCCGAAUACUUGGAAGUCUGAGCACGGGAGACAGAGCACCGGGUGCUAACGUCCGGACUCAAAAGGGAAACAACCCAGACCGCCGGCUAAGGUCCCUAAUAUUGACUAAGUGGAAAACGAAGUGGGAAGGCUAAGACAGUCAGGAAGUUGGCUUAGAAGCAGCCAUCCUUCAAAGAAAGCGUAAUAGCUCACUGAUCGAGUCUUCCUGCGCGGAAGAUGUAACGGGGCUAAGUCAAUAACCGAAGCCGCGGAUUCGCAGCAAUGCGAGUGGUAGGGGAGCGUUCUGUAAGCCUGCGAAGGCGGAUCCGCGAGGACCGCUGGAGGUAUCAGAAGUGCGAAUGCUGACAUGAGUAACGUUAAAGCGGGUGAAAAGCCCGCUCGCCGCAAGCCCAAGGUUUCCUGCUCUACGUUCAUCGGAGCAGGGUGAGUCGGCCCCUAAGGUCAGGCUGAGAAGCGUAGCUGAUGGGAAGCUGGUUAAUAUUCCAGCACCGAUUUCAAGUGCGAAGGGGGGACGGAGUCCUGAAGGUCAUCCGGGUGUUGGAUAUCCCGGUUUACGAGCGUAGGAGGUUGACAGGCAAAUCCGUCAACGGAUCUCCAAGGCGAAGGAUCGAGGUUGAGAGAUCAACUGAAGUGACUGAAUGGGCUUCCAGGAAAAGCCUCUAAGCAUCAGCUUGGAAUUGACCGUACCGCAAACCGACACUGGUGGGCGAGCUGAAUAUGCUCAGGCGCUUGAGAGAACUCAGGAGAAGGAACUCGGCAAAUUGACACCGUAACUUCGGGAUAAGGUGUGCCUUUGUAGUGUGAAGAGAGAAACACUCCGAGCAUGAAGAGGCCUCAGAGAAUCGGUGGCUGCAACUGUUUACUAAAAACACAGCACUCUGCAAAGAUGAAAGUCGACGUAUAGGGUGUGAUGCCUGCCCGGUGCUGGAAGAUUAAUUGAUGGGGUGCAAGCUCCUGAUCGAAGUCCCAGUAAACGGCGGCCGUAACUAUAACGGUCCUAAGGUAGCGAAAUUCCUUGUCGGGCAAGUUCCGACCUGCACGAAUGGCAUAAUGAUGGCCACACUGUCUCCUCCUGAGACUCAGUGAAGUUGAAAUGUUUGUGAUGAUGCAAUCUCCCCGCGGCUAGACGGAAAGACCCCAUGAACCUUUACUGCAGCUUUGCAUUGGACUUUGAACCGAUCUGUGUAGGAUAGGUGGGAGGCAGUGAAGCUAGGACGCCAGUCUUAGCGGAGCCAACCUUGAAAUACCACCCUGAUUUGUUUGAGGUUCUAACCUAGGAGCGUAAUCCGCUUCGGGGACCGUGCAUGGUAGGCAGUUUGACUGGGGCGGUCUCCUCCUAAAGGGUAACGGAGGAGUGCGAAGGUACGCUAGGUACGGUCGGAAAUCGUGCUGAUAGUGCAAUGGCAAAAGCGUGCUUGACUGCGAGACCGACAAG